UUCAUUGAUCUCGGUCAAUUUUAUUGUCAAGGGGGAGAAAGAAACGCGAGAGAAGGAUUAAGAAAACUCGGAAAGGAAAAAUAUCUGGGAGCUGCGACAGGAAAAAUGGACGCGGCGAUAGGGAAGGUUUUCGGUUCCGUCUCAGACUUCAUAUCCGGCGCUGCCUCUGGUUUCUCCGAUGAGUUCCCCUUGUGCGAUACCGACAUCAUCUCCGGCUGUGAGAAAGAACUUGCAGAGGCUCAGAAAGCUAAAGACGAAGGACGUACGAAGGAGUGCAUCAUGCGUCUUUCAUGGGCUCUUGUUCAUUCUAAGAUGCCUGGUGAUAUACAGCGUGGCGUAGCUAUGAUUGAAGGUUCGGUUGUUAAUGAUACAAGUGCAAUGAAACUCAGGGAGAAGCUUUAUCUCCUUGCUGUUGGUUACUAUCGAAGCGGUGACUAUUCAAGAAGCCGGGAUUGUAUCGAACGUUGUUUGGAGGUUGAACCGGAGUCCGGACAGGCUCAGACACUUAAAAAGGCUAUAGAGGACCACAUUGUGAAAGAUGGUGUUAUUGGCGUUGGAAUUGCUGUUACUGCUGUAGGGGUUGUUGCUGGUAUUGCUGCGGCCUUUAUACGCUCAGGCUGAGAAGGAACGAACUUCAUUCAUGUGCAUGUUUCCCUGAUCUUCACAAGGCUAGAAGAAAAGACUUGUAGUCCCCUGAUGUCUCUUUAGCUAUGGCUUGAUCGAGACUCACAUCGUUCCGCUUGAGAUACAGCUCACUGAUCUUCUUCAGGUCCUUUUCUGCUCGUGUGACAAUCACACGGUUCAGAGCAUCUUCAUCAGUCCCCACUGUAUUGAUUGAGUUGCGCAACACCUAGGUGCAAAAGAGAUAUAAAUACCAUUGGGAUAAAUUACAAAAUCACAUCUGAAAACUAUUGUUGUAUCUUCCCUUUGAGUAAUACCGGGUAGGGUUUUUAAUGCACCUGAUGGCUGCGCGUAGUGCACUCAGGUACUCAUUUGUAGGGUGAUUGAGGAGAUCCUGGUCAUCAAAGGUUUCAUUAUGAAUAUCGUCAUGAAGAAAUACUGUGAUCGAUCUGCCGCCAUAUAUAUCCUUGUAGCGAUUGAAGAUUGCGCUAAGCUGCAUGUUGCUUCUUGUACUUAACACCGUGAUCGUUUCUUCAUGUUCAACAGCCUUACCAAGGAUUUCAUCAUGAAGAAUCCCAGCCUCUGACUGUGCAAGCAUCUCAUCAAUUUCCUCUCCAUCAUAUUUAUAGGCAGACGCCAUUGCAACCAAGAGCUGUGUAUAUAUCAAAAAUCCCCAAGCGUUGGAGAUCAAGUCAAGACAAGAAGAAAACAUCUGGAAAAUUAAAAUUACUCACUCUCCUGAUGUCGCCAAUAGUACGGGAGGCCAAGUCUUCCUCAAGAGAACGCUUGUAGAGGGAACGGUAAGCACGUCUAGCAGCUAAUAGAUCUUCAGGGAAUCUCAUGCAGGCAAUUUCGACAAGAACCUUGUAGUCAGGAAUAGGCUUUUGAAGAGCCAAGUUAGCCAAAAGAGCAUCUCUCUCUGGAGGAUCCAAGACCCACAAGCAAACAGCUCUCUGCAGCAUCUUCAACGGGGGAGAAAUGUGGAGGAGAAACAAUGGUGGCCAUUCUGCUCGACUCAGAUUUACUCACCUUUUGGAUAUUACUUCCAUUGCUUUGAGCUCUCUCUAUUUAUAACAGUCGAUAGUGAGGUUACAAUGCUUUUGAGACCAUAAGUAUGUUCAAAGGCUCAUUGAUUGUUUACGAUAUGUGAAUCUGAAACUCUCUCUAUAAUUAACACCGCCCGUUUAUGUAUGACUUUGCCGUUAA
Molecule: non-coding RNA, 1827 nt
Organism: Camelina sativa (false flax)
Lineage: Eukaryota; Viridiplantae; Streptophyta; Magnoliopsida; Brassicales; Brassicaceae
Source: RefSeq, a predicted model, not a curated record